UCCCUUGUUACUCAGCUGGUAAAGUAUCUGCCUGCAAUGCAGGAGACCUGGGUUCGAUCCCUGGGUCGGGAA
RNAcentral lists this transfer RNA (72 nucleotides) under Bos taurus (domestic cattle). It matches the Rfam family "tRNA". From Rfam's summary of the family: Transfer RNA (tRNA) molecules are approximately 80 nucleotides in length. Their secondary structure includes four short double-helical elements and three loops (D, anti-codon, and T loops). Lineage: Eukaryota; Metazoa; Chordata; Mammalia; Artiodactyla; Bovidae. RNAcentral also lists the same sequence under 2 other names. The record is from Rfam by way of RNAcentral.